UGAGAUAUUAAUGAAAAGUGAUCUUUUUCCUUAUGACUUCAGUGUAUUUUUACUUCCUGUCAAUACUUCAAUAUGAAUUCAUCUGGACAAAUGUACAAAAUCCCUUCAAGGAUUCAACUCAAAUUGUUAAUUAACAAUUAAGCAUGUCAUAUAACAGAUAUGGUGAGGUUAAAGGAUGAGGCAUUCCGAACCCAACACUUAGAAAAAAUUUAGGUAAUAAAAUAAAG
RNAcentral lists this long non-coding RNA (227 nucleotides) under Panax ginseng (ginseng). RNAcentral's name for it is "long non-coding RNA (PGIN_LNC012727)". Lineage: Eukaryota; Viridiplantae; Streptophyta; Magnoliopsida; Apiales; Araliaceae. The record is from RNAcentral.